CAGAGCUUAGCUAAUUGGUGAGCAUUGAUCCCUGCUAUGUGUUGUUCACAGUGGCUAAGUUCAGU
MicroRNA precursor from Acanthochromis polyacanthus (spiny chromis), 65 nucleotides. The record is from Ensembl. NCBI's taxonomy places the organism in Eukaryota, Metazoa, Chordata, Actinopteri, Pomacentridae.